Molecule: ribosomal RNA, 624 nt
Filed under: uncultured bacterium
Lineage: Bacteria
Description: bacterial SSU rRNA
Rfam family: Bacterial small subunit ribosomal RNA
Source: RNAcentral
GCCCGGCGAAAGUCGGAUUAAUACCCCAUAAAACAGGGGUCCCGCAUGGGAAUAUUUGUUAAAGAUUCAUCGCUGAUAGAUAGGCAUGCGUUCCAUUAGGCAGUUGGCGGGGUAACGGCCCACCAAACCGACGAUGGAUAGGGGUUCUGAGAGGAAGGUCCCCCACAUUGGUACUGAGACACGGACCAAACUCCUACGGGAGGCAGCAGUGAGGAAUAUUGGUCAAUGGCCGAGAGGCUGAACCAGCCAAGUCGCGUGAAGGAAGAAGGAUCUAUGGUUUGUAAACUUCUUUUAUAGGGGAAUAAAGUGGAGGACGUGUCCUUUUUUGUAUGUACCCUAUGAAUAAGCAUCGGCUAACUCCGUGCCAGCAGCCGCGGUAAUACGGAGGAUGCGAGCGUUAUCCGGAUUUAUUGGGUUUAAAGGGUGCGUAGGUGGUGAUUUAAGUCAGCGGUGAAAGUUUGUGGCUCAACCAUAAAAUUGCCGUUGAAACUGGGUUACUUGAGUGUGUUUGAGGUAGGCGGAAUGCGUGGUGUAGCGGUGAAAUGCAUAGAUAUCACGCAGAACUCCGAUUGCGAAGGCAGCUUACUAAACCAUAACUGACACUGAAGCACGAAAGCGUGGGGA